UACGUAGGGUGCGAGCGUUAUUCGGAUUUACUGGGCGUAAAGCGUGUGUAGGUUGUAGGUUGCGUCUUCGAUUAAAGACCAGAGCUCAACUCUGGGAAUGUUGAAGAUACGGGCUUACUAGAGAUUUGCAGGGGCAGAUGGAAUUCCUGGUGUAGCAGUGAAAUGCGUAGAUAUCAGGAAGAACACCAAUGGCGAAGGCAGCUUGCUGGGCCUUUUCUGACGCUGAGGUACGAAAGCGUGGGGAGCGAACAGG
This 253-nucleotide ribosomal RNA is filed under the name uncultured bacterium. RNAcentral's name for it is "partial 16S ribosomal RNA". It matches the Rfam family "Bacterial small subunit ribosomal RNA", at positions 524 to 776 of the family's 1533-position model. The record is from RNAcentral.